AGUGAACGCUGGCGGUAGGCCUAACACAUGCAAGUCGAACGGCAGCACAGUAAGAGCUUGCUCUUACGGGUGGCGAGUGGCGGACGGGUGAGGAAUACAUCGGAAUCUACUUUUUCGUGGGGGAUAACGUAGGGAAACUUACGCUAAUACCGCAUACGACCUACGGGUGAAAGCAGGGGAUCUUCGGACCUUGCGCGAUUGAAUGAGCCGAUGUCGGAUUAGCUAGUUGGCGGGGUAAAGGCCCACCAAGGCGACGAUCCGUAGCUGGUCUGAGAGGAUGGACAGGCACACUGGAACUGAGACACGGUCCAGACUCCUACGGGAGGGAGCAGUGGGGAAUAUUUGGCAAUGGGCGCAAGCCUGAUCCAGCCAUACCGCGUGGGUGAAGAAGGCCUUCGGGUUGUAAAGCCCUUUUGUUGGGAAAGAAAAGCAGCAGGUUAAUACCCCGCUGUUCUGACGGUACCCAAAGAAUAAGCACCGGCUAACUUCGUG
RNAcentral lists this ribosomal RNA (492 nucleotides) under uncultured bacterium. Its description in RNAcentral is "partial 16S ribosomal RNA". It matches the Rfam family "Bacterial small subunit ribosomal RNA", at positions 29 to 507 of the family's 1533-position model. The record is from RNAcentral.